RNAcentral lists this unclassified non-coding RNA (247 nucleotides) under Hevea brasiliensis (rubber tree). The record is from RNAcentral. Lineage: Eukaryota; Viridiplantae; Streptophyta; Magnoliopsida; Malpighiales; Euphorbiaceae.
GUAAUCUCUAUGAUUUAUCACUGAUCUCUCCCCAAAUAUUGGUUCCACCAUUGCUCUCAAGCUCGCCCAUGUGAUCUCAAAGUAUUCCUUCGGAUCAAUGAGGGUGACAUCAGCAUCGAAUUGAAGGGAUUUGGCAAGCAAGGAACCUGCAAUACCCCCUCCUAUCACCACCAAUCUCCUGCUCUCUCCUCCCGAUUCGUUCUGCCAGUUCAUUUUGUGAUUAAAUUCUGCAAGGAAGAAUGAAUUU